CCUACGGGAGGCAGCAGUGAGGAAUAUUGGUCAAUGGGCGGAAGCCUGAACCAGCCAUGCCGCGUGCAGGAAGACGGCUCUAUGAGUUGUAAACUGCUUUUGUACGAGGGUAAAUCCCGAUACGUGUAUCGGGAUGAAAGUAUCGUACGAAUAAGGAUCGGGUACUCCGUGCCAGCAGCCGCGGUAAGACGGAGGAUUCUAGCGUUAUCCGGAUUUAUUGGGUUUAAAGGGUGCGUAGGCGGUUCGAUAAGUUAGAGGUGAAAUCCCGGGGCUCAACUCCGGCACUGCCUCUGAUACUGUCGGGCUAGAGUUUAGUUGCGGUAGGCGGAAUGUAUGGUGUAGCGGUGAAAUGCAUAGAGAUCAUACAGAACACCGAUUGCGAAGGCAGCUUACCAAACAACGACUGACGUUGAGGCACGAAAGCGUGGGGAGCAAACAGGAUUAGAUACCCGUGUAGUC
This 459-nucleotide ribosomal RNA is filed under the name uncultured bacterium. RNAcentral's name for it is "partial 16S ribosomal RNA". It matches the Rfam family "Bacterial small subunit ribosomal RNA", at positions 338 to 795 of the family's 1533-position model. The record is from RNAcentral.